GAUGGAUGCCCGCUGUUUGCGAUAUACUGUGAGCGGCCAAGAGAAAUCGUUAAGCAUCCCACUGGGGAGUACGCCGGCAACGGUGAAACUCAAAGGAAUUGACGGGGGCCCGCACAAGCGGAGGAACAUGUGGUUUAAUUCGAUGAUACGCGAGGAACCUUACCCCGGGCUUAGAACUGCAGGAGAACGAUACAGAGAUGUUGAGGCCCUUUCGGGGCUCCUGUGGAGGUGCAACUGUAUGGUCGUCAGCUCGUGCCGUGAGGUGUCGGCUUAAGUGCCAUAACGAGCGCAACCCUUUUCGUCAGUUGCCAUCAGGUAAUGCUGGGCACUACUGGCGAUACUGCCACCGUAAGGUGUGAGGAAGGUGGGGAUGACGUCAAAUCAGCACGGCCCUUACGUCCGGGGCUACACACGUGUUACAAUGGGGAGUACAGAGAGUCAACCGCCGGCAACGUCGGUUUAAUCAAGAAAGCUCUCCUCAGUUGCGGAUUGGGGUCUGCAACCCGACCCCAUGAAGCUGGAUUCGCUAGUAAUCGCGCAUCAGCCAUGGCGCGGUAUUUCGUUCCCGGGCCUUGUACACA
RNAcentral lists this ribosomal RNA (581 nucleotides) under uncultured rumen bacterium. RNAcentral describes it as "bacterial SSU rRNA". It matches the Rfam family "Bacterial small subunit ribosomal RNA", at positions 808 to 1389 of the family's 1533-position model. The record is from RNAcentral.